This 1134-nucleotide long non-coding RNA is filed under the name Homo sapiens (human). RNAcentral's name for it is "MIR663A host gene". The stretch from base 1 to 65 matches the Rfam family "mir-663 microRNA precursor family". The record is from RNAcentral. Lineage: Eukaryota; Metazoa; Chordata; Mammalia; Primates; Hominidae.
GGGACCGCCCUCGUGUCUGUGGCGGUGGGAUCCCGCGGCCGUGUUUUCCUGGUGGCCCGGCCAUGCCUGAGGUUUCUCCCUCAGCCGCCCCUCUGCGGGCUCCCAGACGGAAUGAAGUUGAUAAUAGUGAGACCUUGUUGGUACAAGACUAUGUAACAUAACCUGCGCUUCUCAACAAAGAAUUGCUUUUCUGACUUCUGCACUCAAUAGCAAGACAAAUCUCUCCUCUGCCUUCUCCUUAUCAGACUACUCAACAUGAAGGCAAUAAGAAUGAAGACCUCUAUGUAUAAUAAUUGACUUCCACUUAAUAAAUAAGGUUACUUGGUACACUGGUCGACAAAACCUUGAAAUGUUGAUGUUUAAGGGCUGUUGAUUGCUGGCAGCAAAGAAGUCCAACUGUGCUGGUACCCGAGAUAGCGUCUCCACAUUUUCUUCCAGGAUCAUCACCUUUGUUCUAAAUAGCUCCCACAUAGUGUGAACAGAAGUCAUAUGUUUUAGAUUUUCUGCCUUGGCACCCAGGAAACCAGUAUGAUUGAGUAAACAUAUUAAACUUCCUCUGCAUUUCCAGCCUGAACAGAUGUUGAGUACAAGCUGAUCCACCUACGUUCAACCUGAGAGAGUCCACAUCCACAGACUGUUUCAUUUCCCUUUUUCAAUUUACAUAGAAGCAUAGAUUCUUGCUGGCAUAUACAAAUGCGCCAUUUAAGGCAAUCAAAAAUGGUUCCACAUCUCAUCUGAUUUCCACAAUUGUUGCUGUAACGAUGGACUACUGAGGAGAGAGACAAUUUCUCUGGCACAUCUUCCCACAUUUUAGCAACAUGUUCAUGGAGAGCCAAUAUUCAGUAAUUACAGCCCAAUUCCUCACAAUUUCACAAUUCGCUAACAAUAUGCAUUUUCACAAUGUAAAGCUGAUUUUCCUUUAACCAAAUCAAACAUGAAAAGAUAGCUGCAUGCAAUGGGCAAUCUAGAUCAUUAGAAGAUUGAUGUAAAAUUAGAGGACACUGAGACUGGAAUAGAUUGCAAACUUCAGGGAGCUCAGAAAACUUGUAAACUCUACAUUUUGAGGAAAUAUGUUGUCGAUGCUUUUGCAACUCUAUGCAGUAACUUAACAAAUAAAGCCUUAAAGUAACUUAU